This 85-nucleotide transfer RNA is filed under the name Felis catus (domestic cat). It matches the Rfam family "tRNA". From Rfam's summary of the family: Transfer RNA (tRNA) molecules are approximately 80 nucleotides in length. The record is from Rfam by way of RNAcentral. Lineage: Eukaryota; Metazoa; Chordata; Mammalia; Carnivora; Felidae.
GCCUGGGUGGCUCAGUUGGUUAAGCGUCUGACUUUGGGUCAGGUCAUGAUCUCACGGUUUGCGGGUUCCAGCCCUGCCUCGGGCU